AGCAGCUGUGGAUCACUGGAAGAUCGCCGGUCUCAUAAGCCGGAGGAAGCGGGUUCGACUCCCGCCGCUGCUACCA
Molecule: transfer RNA, 76 nt
Filed under: Chromohalobacter moromii
Lineage: Bacteria; Pseudomonadati; Pseudomonadota; Gammaproteobacteria; Oceanospirillales; Halomonadaceae
Also listed under: 1 other name
Description: tRNA-Met
Rfam family: tRNA
About the family: Transfer RNA (tRNA) molecules are approximately 80 nucleotides in length. Their secondary structure includes four short double-helical elements and three loops (D, anti-codon, and T loops).
Source: RNAcentral